RNAcentral lists this ribosomal RNA (458 nucleotides) under uncultured bacterium. Its description in RNAcentral is "partial 16S ribosomal RNA". It matches the Rfam family "Bacterial small subunit ribosomal RNA", at positions 338 to 793 of the family's 1533-position model. The record is from RNAcentral.
GCUACGGGAGGCAGCAGUGAGGAAUAUUGGUCAAUGGACGAGAGUCUGAACCAGCCAAGUAGCGUGAAGGAUGACUGCCCUAUGGGUUGUAAACUUCUUUUAUAAAGGAAUAAAACGAGGCACGUGUGCCUUUUUGCAUGUACUUUAUGAAUAAGGAUCGGCUAACUCCGUGCCAGCAGCCGCGGUAAUACGGAGGAUACGAGCGUUAUCCGGAUUAAUUGGGUUUAAAGGGAACGUAGAUGGGUUGUUAAGUCAGUUGUGAAAGUUUGCGGCUCAACCGUAAAAUUGCAAUUGAUACUGGCAGUCUUGAGUACAGUUGAGGUAGGCGGAAUUCGUGGUGUAGCGGUGAAGUGCUUAGAUAUCACGAAGAACCCCGAUUGCGAAGGCAGCUUACUAAACUGUGACUGACAUUGAUGCUCGAAAGUGUGGGUAUCAAACAGGAUUAGAUACCCUUGUAG